Molecule: ribosomal RNA, 733 nt
Filed under: uncultured bacterium
Lineage: Bacteria
Description: bacterial SSU rRNA
Rfam family: Bacterial small subunit ribosomal RNA
Source: RNAcentral
UGGGGAGCAAACAGGAUUAGAUACCCUGGUAGUCCACGCCGUAAACGAUGGAUACUAGGUGUGGGAGGUACUGACCCCUUCCGUGCCGGAGUUAACACAAUAAGUAAUCCACCUGGGGAGUACGACCGCAAGGUUGAAACUCAAAGGAAUUGACGGGGGCCCGCACAAGCAGUGGAGUAUGUGGUUUAAUUCGAAGCAACGCGAAGAACCUUACCAGGUCUUGACAUCGAGCGACGAACUUAGAGAUAAGUUCUUCCUUCGGGACGCGAAGACAGGUGGUGCAUGGUUGUCGUCAGCUCGUGUCGUGAGAUGUUGGGUUAAGUCCCGCAACGAGCGCAACCCUUAUCAUUAGUUGCUACGCAAGAGCACUCUAAUGAGACUGCCGUUGAUAAAACGGAGGAAAGUGGGGAUGACGUCAAAUCAUCAUGCCCCUUAUGACCUGGGCUACACACGUACUACAAUGGUGAUCAAACAGAGGGAAGCAACACAACGAUGUGAAGCAAAUCCCGAAAAAUCAUCUCAGUUCAGAUUGCAGGCUGCAACUCGCCUGCAUGAGGUCGGAAUUGCUAGUAAUCGCGGAUCAGCAUGCCGCGGUGAAUACGUUCCCGGGCCUUGUACACACCGCCCGUCACACCAUGGGAGUCGGUAACACCCGAAGCCAGUAGCCUAACCGCAAGGAGGGCGCUGUCGAAGGUGGGAUUGAUGACUGGGGUGAAGUCGUAACAAGGUAACC